AGGACGAACGCUGGCGGCGUGCUUAACACAUGCAAGUCGAGCGACGCUCCUCCUUCGGGAGGAUGACGGAGCGGCGAACGGGUGAGUAACACGUGGGCAACCUGCCCCUAGCUCUGGGAUAACCCCGGGAAAUCGGGACUAAUACCGGAUAUGAAGUCGGACGGCAUCGUCUGACUUGGAAAGUUUUUCGGCUAGGGAUGGGCCCGCGGCCUAUCAGCUUGUUGGUGGGGUAAUGGCCUACCAAGGCGACGACGGGUAGCCGGCCUGAGAGGGCGACCGGCCACACUGGGACUGAGACACGGCCCAGACUCCUACGGGAGGCAGCAGUGGGGAAUAUUGCACAAUGGGCGAAAAGCCUGAUGCAGCGACGCCGCGUGAGGGAUGACUGCCUUCGGGUUGUAAACCUCUUUCAGCAGGGACGAAGCGAAAGUGACGGUACCUGCAGAAGAAGCACCGGCCAACUACGCGCCAGCAGCCGC
Molecule: ribosomal RNA, 479 nt
Filed under: uncultured bacterium
Lineage: Bacteria
Description: SSU rRNA
Rfam family: Bacterial small subunit ribosomal RNA
Source: RNAcentral